This is a long non-coding RNA of Chelonia mydas (Green sea turtle), 1870 nucleotides long. RefSeq lists it as uncharacterized. The record is from RefSeq and is a predicted model, not a curated record. NCBI's taxonomy places the organism in Eukaryota, Metazoa, Chordata, Testudines, Cheloniidae. The transcript has 3 exons.
AACAGCAGAGGCUAUAUGGCAAAAACGUUCCUUUCUUUCCUGUUUACUAGAAUAAAGUUGUCAAGACGGUAAAAGUUUUUCAAGCAAGAUAAAGAUAACUCUCUAGUCUAGGGAAUGAUUCUACAAGUCUGAGAUCUCAAAGAGAUUAACACCGAAUUUGCUCUGAUACCUGUGGAUUUUCUUCUCGUUUUGGCUUGGGUGCAGCUGGUGGAGUAAUGGUACGACUCUCUGUUUGCUUCUCCUCUGCUUCCACAUGGGGUUUAAUAGUCUGAAAAGAAACAAGUACAACUCAAUACUAAGAGAGCAUUUUUUAGUUAGAGAAAAACUAAGUGAAAUGAGUAAUUUCAGUUUAGUAGAACAACGGAAAAACAGUUGUAGAACAAACUGGCAGUACCCCAAAAAGAGAUUUGCUCCAGGAAUGUGAGGGAAGUUUAAAUAAUGUGUCCUGCUUUGGCAAAGAAACAGAACAGGCCAAAACCCAAGAACGUGCAGCAUCACAGCAACUCUGGCAACCCAAUCAAACAACCACACAAGUGAUAAAGGUCAUCCUGCAGUUAACAUUUUUGGUAGAAAUAUUUAUAAAGCUGCAUGAAAAGUGGAUUGAUUACAGACCAGCUGAAGCCUUAUGGAAAAUCAUUCUAUGAAAAGCUCCUGUUCAGAACCCAUUCUGAAUGGUAUAUACAUUCUCCAUUUCUUUCCCUUCAUUUGUCAUUAUGAGUAACAUUUGCCUGAAAACUGGCACUGUGACUCCUGAGAGCUCAGAUAUUCCUGUGGCUUAUUUCCUCCCUGAAGUCAGAAUCCUUGGCUCUCAACAUCACAAUCAUCAGCAUGGUGACCCUCAGUUUGUGGCAUGGUUGUGAUGUCACAAACUCAAGAGUGAGGAGAUGAAUGAAGUCUUUAAACCAUGAUUUGAGGACUUCAAUAGCUCAGACACAGGUGAGAAGUUUAUCGCAGGAGUGGGUGGGUGAGAUUCUGUGGCCUGCAUUGUGCAGGUCAGACUAGAUGAUCAUAAUGGUCCCUUCUGACCUUAAUAUCUAUGAAUGCUGAAGAGAGACAAAUUUUGUUUUGUGUAAAUAUCCUUAAUCAUAAAGAUUAAGAAAAUCAUACCAAAAGACUGUACACAGAUAAUUAAAUCAUUGUUACUUGUCUCGGAAUGUUUUUCAAAGUUUUCCUGACUGUCAGCAGUUCUUUAAAUAAUAAACAAAUGGUGUUGACAUCAAAGAAAUAUCAGCAUCAAAGAUGCAACAUUGUGGACGUGCAGCACAGGGAUUCAUCUAGCUCAUAGGUAACAGGCAUGCACUGUUGCAGAGCUCAGUUUGUAAAUCUGCCUUAAAAGAUACGCAACAACCUACCCCUGUGAAUUUAGUGAAGUGAUAGUGCAUCUUUUAUGCACAAAUUGUCCAUAGUGGACAACUCCAAGGUACAUUAAUCAACAGGAAGUGUCUGAAGUGAAACCAAAGAUUUCACAUGAACUGAAUUGGAAAAGUCUACAGUUAUGACCUAAUUAAAUCAUUUUAUUUGAAGUUGCGUAUUAUUUUUUAGGACUCCUUCCCCAUUUGCUCUUUCCUGAAGUGAGAUUUAAUAACUAAAUAUCUAGAAACUCUAUUUUUGAGGCAUUUCUUCCAUCCAUUCAAGCUCAGGUCACUCAUGGGAGUCUUAACCAACCUCAAGAAGCUGACUGGCCAUUCUGUUUCCCUGCAAUUUGAAGGGGGAUUCAGAGGAGAACACAAAUCAACAGGCUCCAGCAUCAAAGCAAAUGCACCCGGAUUCUCUUACUAAACAGGCCUUGUUAAAUAUUUUGAAUAGUUUUUAUUCUUCUACUCUCCAUUGUUUAUAAUUUAAAGAAGUUUAGAAAUAAAAAAAUAUUUUG